GUUAAAUUUCGCACUUGCUUGAAUAUUUUAAACUUAAUGUUUCCUGUGGUAAAAAUAUGAUUCUGCAAAUCAAGAGUCAUGAUGACAUGUAUGGGAUAUUACACACAAAAGAACAAUUCUAUCAGCCAGGUGACUGUGAGGAGGCAGGAUGACCUGAUGUCACUCACAUUGUUGCCUCUGCCUUUGAAGGACCCAGCGCUCCUCUCAGCCCUGGAAUGGGAUGGCUAAAUAGAUUCUCUGUGUUUACUGCUGGUCUCCCUCCCUCAGUGCACACUUCAAUUUGUCUAACAAUAAAAGGUGG
Oreochromis aureus is the source of this 301-nucleotide long non-coding RNA. NCBI's taxonomy places the organism in Eukaryota, Metazoa, Chordata, Actinopteri, Cichliformes, Cichlidae. The record is from Ensembl.